AAAAGAUACAAUACUUACUCGUACAUAUACAUUUAUGCAACAGGAUUAACAAGUUAAGUUAACAACCUUUUUUUUCUGGUGACCUUGUUGCAAAGUAUUCCACUAAUCUGUUUAUUAUUAAUUAAAUAAUCCUGUGUAGUGCAUACAUUAUGAGGCAUUUUAAAAAAAUAACUUAAUGAUUUCAUCAUAUUCAUAUGGUGCAUCAACCCAUUCCAAAGAGGUAAAGUAAUAUGGCAGAAUAUGAUAUAUUAUCAUCUAUGUACAGUGUUUUAACGAUACAUAAAAAAUGCCUAUCUUGGUUUGCAUUAUUUGCCCGUUAUAUAUCAGAGCGUAUCCCUAUAAGGACCAAAAUCUGAUGAAUAUCCCAUAGGCUCCUGUACAAAACUUGCCAUUGAAUAUGAGACCGUAUUCAAAUUCUAGGGCUCAUGCGUGAAUGUGUGAAAUAUGCAACGCGUACAACAACGAAAGCAAAGCGAUCACAGCAUAGAUCACAGUGACACUCAAUGACAUCAUAGUGAACUACAUGUAAGUCACCGAGCCUGUUAAAGACCAAAUUUGAUGUUAUGAAGUGACAAAUUAAAAUCUAUUUUUUUGGGGGGGGAUGGGAUUAAUGAUAGUAAUAAUUUUUGGAUGACUUUAUUUCAUGGAAUACCAGAAAUAUUCCCCUUGUUAGGGUCAAUAUUCCACUUAUCUGUGAUUCGUGGAAUAUUUGUCCAAACUCUUGGAAUAUGUCUGGUAUUCUAUUCUGAGCCAUCCAGUAUAAUAUAAUUAUCCAGUUAAAAUAAACACUGUAUUGUAAAAUUCUAAAGAUGGAAUUGUGUUAUGUAUCUAUAUGAAACCGUGUUUAUGUAUAUUAUAUUUACCUAUGUAGUGCAAUUUUAUGUUGAUAUCUAUUUGAGUGUAUCUUUGAGGAAAGUUGUGCAAGGGAGAGACAUUAGAUGUGCUAUUAUUUGUCUCAAGGUGUAAAGUGAAUACAAUUAUUUCUGAUCUGGUUGCAUGUGUAUUAAAGUAUUCACCUGAUUUUGAGCUCUAUGUUAUAUCAUGUAGGUAUUUUAUGUUGCAAAGUUUAUCUUAUAUGUUCCGUUAUGUCAGUUGAAAUUUGAAAUAUUAUACAUUCCUCAUUCUGUUUUCCAGCUGUUUAUGAGGACCAUGUUGUGUAUUAGUUUGGUGGGCUGUGAUUUUAUCAAAAUUCUUGUAAAUGGGUUAAACUCCAGAAUAUUUUUUGUGAACAUUCAUCAUCUAAAAAAUAUUUCACCUGUCCCCAAAAGAAGUCUUCUUGUCGCAAAAUCUGAUGAUGAACUUUAUAUAUUCUUUUUUUUAGAAUGAAUAAAUCAUUGAAAUAAGAAUUUUGGAUAGGAUACAUAUAUAUCAUAUGUUAUUACCAUGUCACUUUAUCAUUGGUCUGCUACAUGUAGUUAGACUCUAACUCAAAUAAUUUAUGUGAUUUAAGAUAACAACUUUCUCUCGUCUUUCUCUUUUAAGUUUUAGUUGUAAUUUGUUAUUGUGGAAUAUCUAGAGUAUGAUGAAACUAUAUAUUGAUUUUGUUAAGAACAGCAAAGUAAUGGCCUGUCAAAAUAAUUAUAGUUUUGGUUAGAUUUUCCUUUAACUCUGUCUAGAAAGAAAUUUAUAUACAUAUUUAUUUCUCUCCAUUAUUGGAAGAUUUCUCUUUGCUUAAAGUAGUAAAUCUACCCCCCCCCCCCUCCUGGAAAAAAUCCUGGAAUUCGGUAGUAUAUGAUUAUACACUGAUUCUUUGUAUUUUAGUCACAAAGUAGUAAAUAUGAAGUUGAUUCACUACUCCUUCCCCCCAGAAAUCAAAGCCAUCAAUUAAAAUAUUAAAAAAAAAGAUAUUCAAGAAAGUAAGAAUGAACCUCCCCCUUCCCAUUACCCCUCACCCCCUUCCUUCUUACCCCAUAUGUAAAGGCCAAAAUUGAAUUUCAUGUAAGUUUUGUACUGUAGUGUUCAAAAAGCAGAGAGAAGUUUCACACAUUUGUAUAUUGUUUACCUCCCUUUGUUAUUUCAGACGGACUUUGGGGUUUGGUGGAGAAGAAAUUGCUAUAUUAAUCUAUAACACUAGAGAGAUAUCAGUAUUACAGCUGUUACAGAUCAAUAUUUUUCUAUCGGUGAUUAUUUCUUGUCACCUUAUUCACAUGUAUCAACUGAUGGCCGUGUAAGCCCAAUGUUAAAGAACGCUUCUGUCCAUCCAUCUUGAGAAUCCACUCUGAAUACAUGUACCAUCCAAAGUUGCCAUAGAUACAUGUACCUCUGGUAAAUAUACGUGUUUUAAAUGAUUUAAAUAAAGGACAGAAAAUUGUUAGACAACAAGUGAACUACUGCGACUAACUAUAUAUGUGUGUAUAUAUAUAUAUCUAUAUAUAUAUAUAUAUAAUGUAUAACUAUAACAUUGUAAUAUUAUAGACAACUUUCAAUUAUAACCGAGAGUUUGCUAAAAACUUGGACAUUUAUUUUAUGAGCAUUUUAGAGUAAAGGCAUCGUUUCCUGAAUGCCAUUUUGUAAGUUGAAAAGAAAUAUUUAUAUAUGCCAUCAUUUGGUUAUUAUGAGGAUGUUUGUGCAUAGGAUAUGUGCAACUCAAGCUUACAAUAUUUGUUUGUAUUUAAAUCUCAUAUAGUGAUUAUCAUGGAAACUAUUUACAGAAAUCUUAUUUGAUUUGUGUACAUUCAUUUUAUUAGGGAAUAUUAGUAAUUGAAACAGCAGUAUAUUAGUUAAAGGUGUUUAAAAGUGACUUCUGAAGUCUAUGUAGUAUUAUUGUAUUAGAUCAUUUGAUCAUAUUUUGAAGGAUGUUGUCUAAUACUAAUAUGAUAAAUAAACCAUGGGGAAAUAUUCUAAUGAAUUAUAAUGGA
Long non-coding RNA from Lytechinus variegatus (green sea urchin), 2858 nucleotides. RefSeq lists it as uncharacterized. The record is from RefSeq and is a predicted model, not a curated record. Lineage: Eukaryota; Metazoa; Echinodermata; Echinoidea; Temnopleuroida; Toxopneustidae. The transcript is spliced from 2 exons.